CAGCCGCCACGGGAAUACGAAGGGGGCUAGCGUUGCUCGGAAUGACUGGGCGUAAAGGGCGCGUAGGCGGCGAUCAAAGUCAGGCGUGAAAUUCCUGGGCUCAACCUGGGGGCUGCGCUUAAUACAGGCAGUCUAGAGUGAGGAAGAGGGUUGUGGAAUUCCCAGUGUAGAGGUGAAAUUCGUAGAUAUUGGGAAGAACACCGGUGGCGAAGGCGGCAACCUGGUCCUUGACUGACGCUGAGGCGCGAAAGCGUGGGGAGCAAACAGGAUUAGAUACCCCCGUAGUCCCUGUCUCUUAUAC
Molecule: ribosomal RNA, 301 nt
Filed under: uncultured bacterium
Lineage: Bacteria
Description: partial 16S ribosomal RNA
Rfam family: Bacterial small subunit ribosomal RNA
Source: RNAcentral